CAGUGUGCGCAGAGUCCAGUUCUUGUAUAGUUACUGAAAACCACUGCAUAUAGACACGUGUAUAACCUAAUAGACCUAUAUAAGAUAUAACCCAGCACACCUAUACUAUAGCACUUGCAUUGGAAACAUACACUACCGUCAAACGUUUAGACACAUUCAUUCUUUAUUCUUUAACAUCAUGAAGGACCUUUCCACUCACACCAGACUGACCCCAGAACAGUGGGAGAACCGCCUCAACAGAUUCAUCAACAACAUGAGCAGGAAUGCCAGUGUUCAGACUACACUCAGCACAUGGGGUCUAAGCUUUGAGAACGAGCUGCUGAAUCUGACUGGAAGAGUUCUUCCUGCUGAGAGGAUCCUACAGGGAGCGAGAGCAGAUGGAGUACGAUGAUCGACAGGAGGCUCUGCUGAGAGCUCUGCAGCAGAGAGUGGUGCAACAGGUUCAGAUGCUGCAGUUCAUAGAAACCUCUUCACGGCUAAAGCUGCAGAGAUGGAGGUCGAGGGGACCAUGAAGAGGCGGCUCCAGCUUGCAUCAGAGCGAGAGUGUGGGCGCAAGAGCAGACUUUUGAUAAAGGAGGGUAUUUACACUGUUUUAACUGGUGGCGGUAAUGUACAACUCGGCACAGAAGAAGAAGAGGAGGAGGAGCUGGGGGAGAAAAAGCAAGGAAGAAGAGUGUUAAUGGUGUUUACUGCUCAUCUGGAGAGUCACCGCCAUCUUUCUGCAGGGGGUUAGAAGGUUGUUUCGUCCUGAUUGCCUGCACCCCAGCAGCCUCGGAGCGGAACUGCUGUCUGACAACAUCUCCAAGACGCUACACUCCAAGUGACUGUCUACCUCAAUGGUGCAACAAGGUAUCUGGACUAGAUGACCUAUCUGGCCUUUGAUUGGGCCUACUGCAUCUUCUGAUGGAGAUGUAAAACGAAGUGCGUGAGUUUAAAAGACCCGUGUGUUCCUGUAGUUGUUGGCAGCUCAGCGGGCGAGACGUGUGGCUCUGAUCGCUCGGAUCAAUAGUCUAAGGCUGGAAGUUCAGUAGGGUAAGUCAACACCUGUUUCAGUGUUUAUUUACAGUCACAGCGUUUAACUCACGCUUCACGUGCAGUCGAGAAGGAGGACAGGGUGAAGGAAAUGCGCCAUACCGUGGCGUAGGGCACGGCCAACAGGCUGCAGCUCCAGACCCGGCGGUGUUGAGAGGAUAGUGUGGAGGAUACGUUUGGCUCGGAUCAGGAGGAUCCUUAGGCUCUUGCCGGAGUUUCUGCGCAUGUGGUUCAUUACGCACCGGUUUCACUGAUUGCAUUUAAUGUGCAGCCGAGAUGGAGGACAUGGUGACGGAAGGUUAGCUGCAUGAUGGCAGGCUGAUGGCCGAUCAGAAGGUACUACACUGAAAUACUCCACCCCGGUCAGAGUAACUCUUCUGCACUGUAGCUUUGUAGAUAGAAGUUGUUUUAGUUUGAGAUGGCGUCGUCACCCUCAGAAGGAGGAGGUGGAAGACAGGAGAUGAAUUUUUUGUUGAUGUGGUUAAAUAAAAAGUACUUGAGUAAAAUAUUUGGCUUCAAAUAUCAAAUAUUUAAUUAUUUUACUCAGUAAAACACACAUACAUAAAACACACACAGAGACACACAAGCACAAAGACACACACACACACACACACACACACACACACAAAAAAACAGUUGUUCCCUCAUCAUCCCUCUCUUUAUUCCCGCUCUUAAUUCCCUCUUAAUUCUCUCUCUCUAUCCCCUCUCUCUUUAUUCUCUCUUUAUUCCCUCUCUUUAUUCUCUCUCUCUCUCGUGUAUGUAUUUAAUAAUUAUAUUUUUAAACAGGUAACUUAAAUUUAGUGUCUCUCAUUCUGUCAAUGUAGAUGAGCAGGAAACAACCUACCAUGAUAGAUUAAUUUUCUUGGCAGAUGUUUGUGAAUGACAAGGUGUCUUAAAACCUGUAAAUGGAAUUCCUGUGACACUGUAAGUCCAUGUCAGUCAGGUAACUACUGCUAUGGAAAUUUCUGCUGGAUAGGCUUAACUCUUUUACCAGAGGCAAAAAAAUGGAACUGACUUAAAGAUUUUUUUUUACGACUCUCUAAUGUCAAUACAGAAUAAUCCUAAAGCUGUUAAGUCUGUUAAAAAGGAUACUUGAUGUGUUAGAUGUAUGAUUGAUUUUUGAUAUAAGAUACAGAAUUUUGAUUUUACUGUCUUAUAGAUUCAAGUGUCUUUGUACGACUUUGUAUUCCCCUACUGUUGUUUCAUUAAUAAUAAAAAAAUUUCCA
Molecule: long non-coding RNA, 2258 nt
Organism: Ictalurus punctatus (channel catfish)
Lineage: Eukaryota; Metazoa; Chordata; Actinopteri; Siluriformes; Ictaluridae
Exons: 10
Source: RefSeq, a predicted model, not a curated record